GAUGAAGAACGCAGCGAAAUGCGAUAAGUAAUGUGAAUUGCAGAAUUCAGUGAAUCAUCGAGUCUUUGAACGCACAUUGCGCCCCCUGGUAUUCCGGGGGGCAUGCCUGUCCGAGCGUCAUUGCUGCCCUCAAGCACGGCUUGUGUGUUGGGCCCCGCCCCCCGGCUCCCGGGGGGUGGGCCCGAAAGGCAGCGGCGGCACCGCGUCCGGUCCUCGAGCGUAUGGGGCUUCGUCACCCGCUCCGUAGGCCCGGCCGGCGCCCGCCGGCGACCCCCCUCAAUCUUUUCAGGUUGACCUCGGAUCAGGUAGGGAUACCCGCUGAACUUAAGCAUAUCAAUAAGCGGAGGA
Molecule: unclassified non-coding RNA, 348 nt
Filed under: soil metagenome
Description: partial contains 5.8S ribosomal RNA, internal transcribed spacer 2, and large subunit ribosomal RNA
Rfam family: 5.8S ribosomal RNA (bases 1-120)
Source: RNAcentral